CGAGUGGCGAACGGGUGAGUAACACGUGAGUAACCUGCCCUUGACUUUGGGAUAACUUCAGGAAACUGGGGCUAAUACCGGAUAGGAGCUCCUGCUGCAUGGUGGGGGUUGGAAAGUUUCGGCGGUUGGGGAUGGACUCGCGGCUUAUCAGCUUGUUGGUGGGGUAGUGGCUUACCAAGGCUUUGACGGGUAGCCGGCCUGAGAGGGUGACCGGCCACAUUGGGACUGAGAUACGGCCCAGACUCC
Molecule: ribosomal RNA, 246 nt
Filed under: uncultured bacterium
Lineage: Bacteria
Description: partial 16S ribosomal RNA
Rfam family: Bacterial small subunit ribosomal RNA
Source: RNAcentral